RNAcentral lists this ribosomal RNA (400 nucleotides) under uncultured bacterium. Its description in RNAcentral is "bacterial SSU rRNA". It matches the Rfam family "Bacterial small subunit ribosomal RNA", at positions 355 to 752 of the family's 1533-position model. The record is from RNAcentral.
UGAGGAAUAUUGGACAAUGGAUGGAAAUCUGAUCCAGCCAUGCCGCGUGCAGGAAGAAUGUCCUAUGGAUUGUAAACUGCUUUUGUAUGGGAGCAAUAAGGUAUUCGUGAAUACCGAUGAGAGUACCAUACGAAUAAGCACCGGCUAACUCCGUGCCAGCAGCCGCGGUAAUACGGAGGGUGCAAGCGUUAUCCGGAUUUAUUGGGUUUAAAGGGUGCGUAGGCGGUUAUAUAAGUCAGCGGUGAAAUUUUUCGGCUCAACCGGGAACAUGCCGUUGAUACUGUAUAGCUUGAAUAUGGUUGCUGUGAGUGGAAUGUGUAGUGUAGCGGUGAAAUGCUUAGAUAUUACACAGAAUAUCGAUUGCGAAGGCAACUCACAAAGCCAAUAUUGACGCUGAGGC